CUCAGGGAUGAACGCUGGCGGCGUGCUUAACACAUGCAAGUCGAACGAAGAUGCCGGAGUGCUUGCACUUUGGCAGACUGAGUGGCGGACGGGUGAGUAACGCGUGGGUAACCUGCCUUAUACAGGGGGAUAACAGUUGGAAACGACUGCUAAUACCGCAUAAGCGCACGGUAUCGCAUGAUACAGUGUGAAAAACUCCGGUGGUAUAAGAUGGACCCGCGUCUGAUUAGCUAGUUGGUGAGGUAACGGCCCACCAAGGCGACGAUCAGUAGCCGGCCUGAGAGGGUGAACGGCCACAUUGGGACUGAGACACGGCCCAAACUCCUACGGGAGGCAGCAGUGGGGAAUAUUGCACAAUGGGGGAAACCCUGAUGCAGCGACGCCGCGUGAGUGAUGAAGUAUUUCGGUAUGUAAAACUCUAUCAGCAGGGAAGAUAAUGACGGUACCUGACUAAGAAGCACCGGCUAAAUACGUG
This 475-nucleotide ribosomal RNA is filed under the name uncultured bacterium. RNAcentral's name for it is "bacterial SSU rRNA". It matches the Rfam family "Bacterial small subunit ribosomal RNA", at positions 27 to 507 of the family's 1533-position model. The record is from RNAcentral.